UUGGGUUUGAUUUUACCACCCCUAUUCGUCUUUAAGAGAUUUAAACCAAAGUUAAAGUUAGAACUAGUGAAAAUAAAAACUAAAUAAUUGCAAUCCAAUAAUCGAAAGAGAGAGAGAGAGAGAAUGAGUUUGGGCAUUUUGGGCCUAAACUGCUGCCUCUUUGGGCCUAAAUUGCUGUUGAUUUGUGCCUCUUUUCAGCGUAUACAAAAAGUUGUAUAUCGGUGUAUACAGGCUUGUUUAGCAGCCCUUUUCCUACAUUUUUUGCUUUCGUUUGCCAUGUAUUUAAGGCUUGACUUUCACUUGAACACCGAUGGGGCUGACUCAAAGGAAAUCAACUCGAUGAAAUGCAAGGAAUUAGUCCAAAAGUGGACUCAGAUUUCACAUGAAAGGAAAAUAAAAUGAUA
Molecule: long non-coding RNA, 404 nt
Filed under: Solanum tuberosum (potato)
Lineage: Eukaryota; Viridiplantae; Streptophyta; Magnoliopsida; Solanales; Solanaceae
Description: long non-coding RNA (STUB_LNC008313)
Source: RNAcentral